Molecule: transfer RNA, 72 nt
Filed under: Chloroflexota bacterium
Lineage: Bacteria; Bacillati; Chloroflexota
Description: Chloroflexi bacterium (groundwater metagenome) tRNA-Lys
Rfam family: tRNA
About the family: Transfer RNA (tRNA) molecules are approximately 80 nucleotides in length. Their secondary structure includes four short double-helical elements and three loops (D, anti-codon, and T loops).
Source: RNAcentral
GCGUUCGUAACAUAGUGGCAAGUGUUGCGGACUCUUAAUCCGUAAACGCGAGUUCGAUUCUCGCCGAGCGCA